CCUACGGGAGGCAGCAGUGAGGAAUAUUGGUCAAUGGACGUAAGUCUGAACCAGCCAUGCCGCGUGCAGGAAGACGGCUCUAUGAGUUGUAAACUGCUUUUGUACGAGGGUAAACGCAGCUACGUGUAUCUGUCUGAAAGUAUCCUACGAAUAAGGAUCGGCCAACUCCGUGCCAGCAGCCGCCGUAAUUCGGAGGAUUCAAGCGUUUACCGGGAUUGUUGGGUUUAAAGGGUGCGUAGGCGGUCGGAGCAGUUCGAGGUGAAAUCCCGAGGCUCAACUUCGGAAUUGCCUCUGAAACUGUUCGGCUAGAGAGUAGUUGCGGUAUGCGGAAUGUAUGGUGUAGCGGUGAAAUGCAUAGAGAUCAUACAGAACACCGAUUGCGAAGGCAGCAUACCAGGGUACUUCUGACGCUGAGGCACGAAAGCGUGGGGAGCAAACAGGAUUAGAUACCCCAGUAGUC
Molecule: ribosomal RNA, 460 nt
Filed under: uncultured bacterium
Lineage: Bacteria
Description: partial 16S ribosomal RNA
Rfam family: Bacterial small subunit ribosomal RNA
Source: RNAcentral